RNAcentral lists this long non-coding RNA (345 nucleotides) under Vigna radiata. Its description in RNAcentral is "long non-coding RNA (VRAD_LNC002327)". The record is from RNAcentral. Lineage: Eukaryota; Viridiplantae; Streptophyta; Magnoliopsida; Fabales; Fabaceae.
GUGGACCUAGGUUAGGCUGUGUGGGAGGUUAAUGUGAUGUGUCUUGGAGACCCAUAGGAAAAUGGGAUUGUGGGUUUGGGAUAAUGGUGGUAAAAAUUUGAACUUGACGAAGGAUUAAGGGCUGUUGAAGAAGAUUCCAAGAGGAGGGGAAGGAGGAGAUUGGAGAUGACGAACCUUUUGGAUAAUCGAAAAAGUGUCAUGGAACCCAAACCUGAUUGGGAUGCGCCACGUUUUAUGCUACCUAACAUUAACAUCUAUGCGGUGCACCACUGAGGAAAAGGUCUCUUCGAACCAACAUGUUUUGUUCGGCAAGAGAAAGACUCUCGCUAGUACUUCUUUUCUCCU